This 165-nucleotide ribosomal RNA is filed under the name uncultured bacterium. RNAcentral describes it as "partial 16S rRNA". It matches the Rfam family "Bacterial small subunit ribosomal RNA", at positions 354 to 511 of the family's 1533-position model. The record is from RNAcentral.
GUAGGGAAUCUUCGGCAAUGGACGAAAGUCUGACCGAGCAACGCCGCGUGAGUGAAGAAGGUUUUCGGAUCGUAAAACUCUGUUGUUAGAGAAGAACAAGGGUGAGAGUAACUGUUCACCCCUUGACGGUAUCUAACCAGAAAGCCACGGCUAACUACGUGCUAG